RNAcentral lists this unclassified non-coding RNA (222 nucleotides) under Ascomycota sp. Its description in RNAcentral is "partial contains small subunit ribosomal RNA, internal transcribed spacer 1, and 5.8S ribosomal RNA". The stretch from base 1 to 47 matches the Rfam family "Eukaryotic small subunit ribosomal RNA", at positions 1785 to 1831 of the family's 1831-position model. The record is from RNAcentral. Lineage: Eukaryota; Fungi; Ascomycota.
AAAGUCGUAACAAGGUCUCCGUUGGUGAACCAGCGGAGGGAUCAUUACAGAGUGUAAAAACUCCCAAACCCAUUGUGAACCUACCUCGCGUUGCCUCGGCGGGCCGCCCCGCGCCUCCGGGCGCGGGGUCCGCCGGCGGCCCACGAAACUCUUGUCAUCAUUGGCAUCUCUGAACGCAAACUAAAUCAGUUAAAACUUUCAACAACGGAUCUCUUGGUUCUG